UACGGAGGGGGCAAGCGUUGUUCGGAGUUACUGGGCGUAAAGCGAGCGCAGGUGGUUUAAUAAGUCUGAUGUAAAAGGCAGUGGCUCAACCAUUGUGUGCAUUGGAAACUGUUAGACUUGAGUGCAGUAGAGGAGAGUGGAAUUCCAUGUGUAGCGGUGAAAUGCGUAGAUAUAUGGAGGAACACCGGUGGCGAAAGCGGCUCUCUGGACUGUCACUGACACUGAGGCUCGAAAGCGUGGGUAGCAAACAGG
RNAcentral lists this ribosomal RNA (252 nucleotides) under uncultured microorganism. RNAcentral describes it as "partial 16S ribosomal RNA". It matches the Rfam family "Bacterial small subunit ribosomal RNA", at positions 524 to 776 of the family's 1533-position model. The record is from RNAcentral.